UGCCAGCCGCCGCGGUAAUACGGAGGGUGCAAGCGUUGUCCGGAUUUAUUGGGUUUAAAGGGUGCGUAGGCGGUUUGAUAAGUCAGUGGUGAAAUACUUCAGCUCAACUGGAGAGGUGCCAUUGGAAACUGGCGAACUUGAGUACGGGAGAGGAAAGUGGAAUUCCGAGUGUAGGGGUGAAAUCCGUAGAUAUUCGGAGGAACACCAGUGGCGAAGGCGGCUUUCUGGACCGAUACUGACGCUGAGACGCGAAAGCGUGGGGAGCAAACAGGAUUAGAUA
Molecule: ribosomal RNA, 280 nt
Filed under: uncultured bacterium
Lineage: Bacteria
Description: partial 16S ribosomal RNA
Rfam family: Bacterial small subunit ribosomal RNA
Source: RNAcentral